Molecule: ribosomal RNA, 253 nt
Filed under: uncultured bacterium
Lineage: Bacteria
Description: partial 16S ribosomal RNA
Rfam family: Bacterial small subunit ribosomal RNA
Source: RNAcentral
GACGAACCGAGCGAACGUUAUUCGGAAUCACUGGGCUUAAAGGGCGCGUAGGCGGGUCGCAUGGUCCGCGGUGAAAUCCUCCGGCUCAACCGGAGAACGGCCGCGGAUACCGGCGACCUCGAGGGGGGCAGGGGCACCUGGAACUGGUGGUGGAGCGGUGAAAUGCGUUGAUAUCAUCAGGAACUCCGGUGGCGAAGGCGAGGUGCUGGACCCCAACCGACGCUGAGGCGCGAAAGCCAGGGGAGCGAACGGG